Molecule: long non-coding RNA, 2098 nt
Organism: Arachis stenosperma
Lineage: Eukaryota; Viridiplantae; Streptophyta; Magnoliopsida; Fabales; Fabaceae
Exons: 3
Source: RefSeq, a predicted model, not a curated record
CUCUCUUCCUAUCUUUCUCUCUGCUCCUGGAUCUCUCUCAUCCGUCUCAGUAUGCGUAGCACGCAAAACGCCGUCGUUUUGUUGGAAUGCCCUAGCCAAUUACCCAACCCAGCAACCUUAGCUCCACACAACGGCGCGAACCCAUCCCUCCUAUCACCCUCGAGCUCCUCCUUCCUCUCUCCGUCAUCGAUCUCACUCCCUCACCUCCGUCCAUCUGCCGCCGCCGUCGCCGAAACGAGCUUCGAAGCCACCGUCGGUAUCGUGCACCAUCGUGCAGCUAUUGUUUCGGCUUUGAAAGCACCGUCGCGCAGCUCGGUUCCAUCGUCGCCGGGCUCGCCUACUUUUUCUGUCGAGCAGAUCUGUUCUAUCGUCGCCGGCGCUAUCUCUGUUCCACCUGUCAUCCCUUCGGUUGUGCCCUUGUCCCCCUCUUGCUCAGGAUCUCUUCUGCUCUGUUCUAGGGCUUCUAGCUUCUAGGCAUUUGCUCAGUUACUACGAGCUCCUCAUGAUGAUGCAGAGUCGAUAAUAAAGGAAAGGUUUCCCAUACCUCGCCUAGUUGUUUGCGAUCAGCAUGGUUCCCAGGCUACUGUAUAUUUGUUGAUGCUGAGCAUGCUCUCGAUAAGGCACUUGCAGAAUCCAUUGGUGUGAAUACUGAAAACUUGUUGCUUUCUGUUAGAGACUUGGGUAUUAUGGGUGCUCAAAGUCCCACAUCGAGUAGUAUGGGAUGCUUGAUGUUGUACAUAAGGAGAGUGGUUCUUCUUCCUUAACAGCUAGCUUUAAGGUGUGGUUUCCCAAUUUUCUUAGAUACUUAACACUUUCACAACCAGAUUGUGGUGAACAAGCACUUAGUCUUGUGGAUACCUUAAUCCGUAGUGGUUCAGUUGACGUAAUUGUUGUUGACAGUGUAAGUAUGCAGCUCCCGUAGUGGUGGCUGCACUUAAGUCCUUAUCUAUUAUAGGAUUUGCCAAAUCAGUAUAAGAACUAGAAAAUUUUCACCAAUAGAAUGUGAUUUUAGCCAGUAUUAUCAUUUAGUUCUACUUAGUUAUGGUAAUAACUCAAAAUAGCCUUCUUAUAAAAAGAUUCAUCAGCACUAGAAAUUUUUUGAUUGAUUCUGUUUUUAUUCAUGUUCAAAGAUAUAUGCUUCUACUUGUAUUAUAUAGCAUUUCUGCUACUUAAAAGCACAUAUUGCUGAUUUUCUUCUAGCAGUAGUUUUCAUUGCAUUGCACACAACUUUGACAAAACAAUACAAGAUUUUCUGCAUUAGGUUAAAAAAUAAAAGAGUUUAUUUAUUAUAUUUAUGUUUAUUAUGAAUUUUUUAUUUAUAAAUUAUUUUAUUUUAAAUAUUUUAUUUGUUGUUGUGUUUUUGCUGGUUUUUAUUUUUGCUGAUUGUUGCUCUUGUUUUUAAUUUAUUUGAGUCUAAUUGAGUACAUCUUGUUAUGGUAUGAAUUGCUAGUUGCUGGUAUUUGACAAGUAUGGAGCUUUCAGGAUCUUUGUCUCCUUUUGUUGCCAAUAUGACAGCUCUGGCUAGGAAACAUGCAAUGAGUUGACACUGUACUUGGUCAAUGGUCAGUUUAGUUUUGUUCAAAUAAUUUGUCGUCAUAAAUUAGCUUUUAUUCUUCACGUUGGGUUAUUAAUUUGCGUUUUCUCUGAGAACUAUAUAUGCAGCUUCAGUGUGGUGUCUAGAUGAAGGUGCCAAGAUCCUCGAGUGUCAGAAGAAAAAGGGCCAGCUUGUGUUUCCCAUAUUCUUCUACAAAUAGAGCCAUCGGAUGUACGGCGUCAGAGAAAUAGUUAUAAACUUGCCAUGGCUGUUACUCUGAGAAGUGCAGAGGUGUUACAUACAUAGAUUAAAUGAACCAAUAUGUAUUAGAGACUCUGAGAAGCAUAUAUAGACUCUGACAUAGAUUAAGUGGGCAGUAAAUUUUGCUCAUAGAGACUGACAUAGAUUUGUUGAGACAAAUUUUGUAAAGAAUGCUCUUUCUUUUUGUUUUGAAGAUUGUCCAUUUUGCUCUCUUCCUUAUAUUAUUCCUUUGAAAGUGUAAAAAUUUUAGAUGAAUGAAAGAAAGUUAUUGCAUCUCAUUUGUUGACUAAUUUUAUUUUUGGC